GAAAUGCGAUAAGUAGUGUGAAUUGCAGAAUUCAGUGAAUCAUCGAAUCUUUGAACGCACAUUGCGCCUCCUUGUAUUCAGGGAGGCAUGCCUGUCCGAGCGUCAUUUAAAACCACUCAAGCUGUUGUGCUUGGUCAUGGAAGAAGAGUCCGCUUUUCCGGUCUCCUUUCCGAAAUACAAUGGCGGAAGGUCUCUGGUACCCGGCGUAGUAAUAACUGUUCGCCUUGUGUCUCGAGAUGUUUCUGCCGUCAAACCCCCAAUUCUUCUUAGGUUGACCUCGGAUCAGGUAGGGAUACCCGCUGAACUUAA
Molecule: unclassified non-coding RNA, 309 nt
Filed under: uncultured Tricharina
Lineage: Eukaryota; Fungi; Ascomycota; Pezizomycetes; Pezizales; Pyronemataceae
Description: sequence contains ITS1
Rfam family: 5.8S ribosomal RNA (bases 1-105)
Source: RNAcentral